This 603-nucleotide ribosomal RNA is filed under the name Gomphrena kanisii. RNAcentral's name for it is "eukaryotic LSU rRNA". The stretch from base 234 to 388 matches the Rfam family "5.8S ribosomal RNA". Lineage: Eukaryota; Viridiplantae; Streptophyta; Magnoliopsida; Caryophyllales; Amaranthaceae. The record is from RNAcentral.
UCGAAACCUGCUUAGCAGAACAACCAGCGAACAAGUUAUUUUCAUGCAUGGGGGAGGCGUGCUGGCUUGCCAACUCCCUCCCCUAAGUGUUACGGGGCUUUCCUUUGUGAUUGCUGUGUGACACAACAACCAAACCCCGGCGCGUUAAGCGUCAAGGAAUAUGUUCAUGUGUUUGCCCACCCAUGAUCGGGUCUCCGGUUUAUGGGUGUGGCACCAGUGUAAAGUCAUUAAACGACUCUCGGCAACGGAUAUCUCGGCUCUCGCAUCGAUGAAGAACGUAGCGAAAUGCGAUACUUGGUGUGAAUUGCAGAAUCCCGUGAACCAUCGAGUUUUUGAACGCAAGUUGCGCCCGAAGCCUUCUGGCCAGGGCACGUCUGCCUGGGCGUCACGCAUAGCGUCUCACCUAUCGCACUAAAAUGUGGGAAAGGAGAGGAUGAUGGCCUCCCAUGUCACACCUGACGUGGAUGGCUUAAAAAAGGAGCCUUUGGUUACUAGAUGCCGUGGCGAUUGGUGGUAUAAACUUCUCGUUAUGGAAUAAGUAGCUCAAUAGGCCUCGUAGGACCCUUUGAUAACCUUUGCGACCCCAGGUCAGGCGGGAUUACC